This 1372-nucleotide ribosomal RNA is filed under the name uncultured bacterium. RNAcentral's name for it is "bacterial SSU rRNA". It matches the Rfam family "Bacterial small subunit ribosomal RNA", at positions 28 to 1381 of the family's 1533-position model. The record is from RNAcentral.
GAUGAACGCUGGCGGCGUGCCUAAUACAUGCAAGUCGAGCGAACGGACGAGAAGCUUGCUUCUCUGAUGUUAGCGGCGGACGGGUGGGUAACACGUGGAUAACCUACCCAUAAGACUGGGAUAACUUCGGGAAACCGGAGCUAAUACCGGAUAAUAUUUUGAACCGCAUGGUUCAAAAGUGAAAGACGGUCUUGCUGUCACUUAUAGAUGGAUCCGCGCUGCAUUAGCUAGUUGGUAAGGUAACGGCUUACCAAGGCAACGAUGCAUAGCCGACCUGAGAGGGUGAUCGGCCACACUGGAACUGAGACACGGUCCAGACUCCUACGGGAGGCAGCAGUAGGGAAUCUUCCGCAAUGGGCGAAAGCCUGACGGAGCAACGCCGCGUGAGUGAUGAAGGUCUUCGGAUCGUAAAACUCUGUUAUUAGGGAAGAACAUAUGUGUAAGUAACUGUGCACAUCUUGACGGUACCUAAUCAGAAAGCCACGGCUAACUACGUGCCAGCAGCCGCGGUAAUACGUAGGUGGCAAGCGUUAUCCGGAAUUAUUGGGCGUAAAGCGCGCGUAGGCGGUUUUUUAAGUCUGAUGUGAAAGCCCACGGCUCAACCGUGGAGGGUCAUUGGAAACUGGAAAACUUGAGUGCAGAAGAGGAAAGUGGAAUUCCAUGUGUAGCGGUGAAAUGCGCAGAGAUAUGGAGGAACACCAGUGGCGAAGGCGACUUUCUGGUCUGUAACUGACGCUGAUGUGCGAAAGCGUGGGGAUCAAACAGGAUUAGAUACCCUGGUAGUCCACGCCGUAAACGAUGAGUGCUAAGUGUUAGGGGGUUUCCGCCCCUUAGUGCUGCAGCUAACGCAUUAAGCACUCCGCCUGGGGAGUACGACCGCAAGGUUGAAACUCAAAGGAAUUGACGGGGACCCGCACAAGCGGUGGAGCAUGUGGUUUAAUUCGAAGCAACGCGAAGAACCUUACCAAAUCUUGACAUCCUUUGACAACUCUAGAGAUAGAGCCUUCCCCUUCGGGGGACAAAGUGACAGGUGGUGCAUGGUUGUCGUCAGCUCGUGUCGUGAGAUGUUGGGUUAAGUCCCGCAACGAGCGCAACCCUUAAGCUUAGUUGCCAUCAUUAAGUUGGGCACUCUAAGUUGACUGCCGGUGACAAACCGGAGGAAGGUGGGGAUGACGUCAAAUCAUCAUGCCCCUUAUGAUUUGGGCUACACACGUGCUACAAUGGACAAUACAAAGGGCAGCGAAACCGCGAGGUCAAGCAAAUCCCAUAAAGUUGUUCUCAGUUCGGAUUGUAGUCUGCAACUCGACUACAUGAAGCUGGAAUCGCUAGUAAUCGUAGAUCAGCAUGCUACGGUGAAUACGUUCCCGGGUCU